This 477-nucleotide ribosomal RNA is filed under the name uncultured bacterium. Its description in RNAcentral is "partial 16S ribosomal RNA". It matches the Rfam family "Bacterial small subunit ribosomal RNA", at positions 28 to 507 of the family's 1533-position model. The record is from RNAcentral.
GAUUAACGCUGGCGGCGUGCAUAACACAUGCAAGUCGAACGAUGAAACUUUAAUGACCCCUUCGGGGAGAAUUAAAGCGGAUUAGUGGCGAACGGGUGAGUAACGCGUGAGUAACCUGCCUUACACAAGGGGAUAGCCUUUGGAAACGAAGAAUAAUACCCUAUAAAACCAUAAAAGCACAUGCAAUUAUGGUCAAAGUGAUAGCGGUGUAAGAUGGACUUGCGUCUGAUUAGCUAGUUGGUGAGAUAAAAGCCCACCAAGGCAACGAUCAGUAGCCGGCUUGAGAGAGUGUACGGCCACAUUGGGACUGAGACACGGCCCAGACUCCUGCGGGAGGCAGCAGUGGGGAAUUUUGCACAAUGGGGGAAACCCUGAUGCAGCGACGCCGCGUGAUUUAGAAGGCCUUCGGGUUGUAAAAAUCUUUUGUAUAGGAAGAAAAUGACAGUACUAUACGAAUAAGGUCCGGCUAAUUACGUG